CGACUGGAGGAGGAUGCCUGCUCAUUACGCCGGCCACGUACGAAACGUUCGUGAACUUGGCCAGAAUUCGUGAACGUCCAGGCCAGCCGACCUGGAGGAAAAAUUAACGAUGGAUUCUUUUGAAAAAUUUCUAAUUAAACCCGUGGCUGCAGUCCCUGAAGACAGGAAGUGCCUUGAUGGAAACGAUCAUUUCCAUAAAUGUAGUAGUUGAACAAUUAAAAACUCCGGAUUGACCGCGGUUACGAAACCGGACAGUGGCCAUUAAGAUCGACGAACGAUCCGCAGAAACGGUCAUCGUCGUUGAAAACGGUUAAUCGGGCGUGAUUUAUUAUCAACGAUGCAACCGAAAACGUAAGCCGUUCUCGUAAGCCAGUUUCACGGAAUAUUGAUUGUUGUCUUUUCCACUGUAUACCAGACCAUAUUGAACUUGACUUUAAGAUCUCUCAACAGCUACUCUUCUAAUCCAUAAACGCGUUAGAAAAAGAGAAUGUAAAGAACAGAGUUUCAAAGUGUCCUCUAAUGAUUUUUGCCCCAACUAUUUAUCGUAAUAAGACGAUAUUUGAAUAUCCAAAUAAAUAGCCUCCAGACAUGAAAAGCUGUCUUAAGUCUGGUGCACACAUCCCCCAUCGAGUCGGUUCUGUGGAUCGAACUGGUCGGAAUGUAUACACCAACCUUAAGGCGGCUCCUCAUGUCUGGAAGUUGUUUAUUUGGAUUUUCAAGCAUCUUCUUCCUGUUUUGAUGCACAUACAUAUCUAAUUUAAAUGCCGAAAAGCAGAAACUAAAACAAGUAUGUACUAAUCUACGAUUUCACUUCUGCAUAAUCUUCUCUGGGUCAUCACUUAUCAAUGAAAAGUUUAUUUAAACACGUCAACGGUUAAAUAAAAUUAAAUGAAACUAA
Osmia lignaria (orchard mason bee) is the source of this 898-nucleotide non-coding RNA. NCBI's taxonomy places the organism in Eukaryota, Metazoa, Arthropoda, Insecta, Hymenoptera, Megachilidae. The record is from RefSeq and is a predicted model, not a curated record.